Molecule: long non-coding RNA, 320 nt
Filed under: Coffea arabica (coffee)
Lineage: Eukaryota; Viridiplantae; Streptophyta; Magnoliopsida; Gentianales; Rubiaceae
Description: long non-coding RNA (CARA_LNC003764)
Source: RNAcentral
UUUGAGUGAAUCUAUCAAAAUCCUCAACCUUCGACUAAAAGCUAAAGGCUAUCAACCCAUAGUUUAAAGCGGAAGAUUGAGUGACCCAUCGGACCAUGCUACACACACAUCGUGUCAUGAUCACACGUCCAAGUGGGUCGCCUAAAAUCCUAAUAGGGUGGAGUGGCGUGACAAGCCACUAAAAGAAAAAUAAAUGGGGGGUAAAAAUAAUUAAAGCGUAUGCACGUAUGCUAGUGCUCGUUUGGAUGGGAGGGAUCAAGAACCAACGUGAGGCUCUAAGGUGAAGUCCCCCUCCCAAAAUGCAAUGCAAAGCGCGGAAU